This is a non-coding RNA of Microcebus murinus (gray mouse lemur), 2556 nucleotides long. Lineage: Eukaryota; Metazoa; Chordata; Mammalia; Primates; Cheirogaleidae. The record is from RefSeq and is a predicted model, not a curated record.
CGCGCGCGCGUGCGUGUUGUCUGCGCGACGCUAGGAUCUUCGGCGCCCUCUGGGUCUGACCUCUCGGCUCUGGUCUGGGCGACAGAUGGGACAGACGGUGUGCACAGGAGCUCCUGCCUGGUGUGGAAUGGGGCUCCGCUAAGCUCCCGCUCACAUGGCUGCCUGCGUGCCACAGCAGCUCUUCAUGACGGGGCAGGUAGGAAACAGUCCAGAGCAUCCUUUCAGGUGAGUUCCGUGCUGCGCGAGUGCAGAGUUGGGAACGCAGUAGGGUGGUGCUGAAAAUCCCUCUGGAUGCAGGGAGCAGCGAGCUCCUGCUGGUUGUGCUUAAAAACUUGCGGCAUGUAAAAUGGAGCUUUUUACAUUUUCUUAUAAUAUACUAUUGCUUUUAUUCAAAACGACGUUCCCCCUCAUUGGAGCAGGACUUUUUCCUGCAGAGAUGGGGAUGCCGAGAGCGUCCUGCGUAGGCUGCCCCGGCGCGGCCUCUGUCCUGGCACCAGGUGAUCAUAGAGCAACACAUCCAGAUUAAAAUAUAAAGUGAAGGAGAUGAAGCAUCUGAAAAGACUGCCUAUUCCUUAGAGACGACUGUAUUGUCCUACUAGUUCCUGCAGAGGAUGCCACGUCCUGCCUCACAGACGAAGAUUAUAACCCAGAAGAAAAGGUGUUUGGUGGCAUUCAUUAUUUUACCCAGUCAUUUAACCUGAAUUCAUUUUAGGCCACACAGAGCCUGUCAGGCAGCAGGUCAGCAUUUUGGGGCAUGUGGAGGAGCAGUAGCACAGGCCGGUGGGUUGCAGAGGACCUUGCAUGUCUCACCUUUGGCACUGCAGAGCCCUCACUGCUGCUGGGUGAGGAUGUCGACCCCUCCCGGGAACAGCUUCUGUGCGAUUGGUGCCCACCACCGACUAGAUGUGUUGCCAGAACACGAAAUGAAAACCCUGCAUUAGCCAGGGAGUGGCAUGAUGAUCACUUCUGGUGUGAGUAUCUGAGAAUCACAGCUUAAGGUAGAUUUUUUGGGAGGUGUGGAUGAGUGAAUGCCAGAAAUAAGCAUUUGACAUUGAGCCUUUGUGAGUCUGACCAAGUGGGUGUCAAAGAAGAGACUCUGGCAGAGUCAGCACACUAAUUUGUGAAUGUAAGUGACAGAAAAACUAUUCGUUAUGCAUAUAAUCAAACUGCAAGUUUAAUAGAUAAUGCAAGUGCACACAAAAACUAUUUAAUGACACCAGAAAUAUGGCUUCAGUCAGCAAAAGGCAAGACAUUGGAAGUGGGUCUGAGACCUUGAACAGAAACGCUUGCACGGCGCUGGAAGGGCUCCCAGGUGCUGGAACAGGUUGGCAUCAGGAGCUCUCUGCAUGUGCUGAAAACCCUCUGGUAGAAAAUCAGGCCUCGGGAGGAAGCAUUUUUAUGUAGACUUUUUCAUGGCUUGAGUAUUGCAGAGGACUUUGCAGAACAAUUUAUGAAUAAAGUCUCAGUGCAGAAAUUGCCAGAGCAAACGGUCACCAGAUGCUCAGAAAAAUCCAGCGUAGAAAGGGAUGUGUUUCCCAGGAGGAUUUUGGCUUUACUGGGGAAGGAACUGUAACUUCCCCCUGAAUUUUGUCUUCCCACUUGCGCUCAAUCAAAUCUUCCGUUUCCUCGUGAACCUCAUCUCCAUCGUGUCUUUUCCCCACAUCUUCAAGUUGUCAGGGGGCCCAGUUGGGGUGUCCAGGCUCUCUCCCGUCCGGAGGCCUGCGUCGCCCGCUGACAUUGCAGGGGUGACGCUGACUGGAGGCCCAGUGUCACAGGCAGGCUUCGCUCUGGGAUCCCGGUGAGAGCUGCUGUUCCCGUGGUUGAUGCCCCAGGAGACGGCCCUGCACUCUGGGACCCAGCGGUGACCCCUGUGGCUGUGGUGGUGGCUGAGGUUGAGUGCCAGCCUGGGUCUGGGGAGCAGCCACACCUCCCUGACCACUCUGCCCUAGUACCCUUGUGCUGCUGUAACAAAACCCGGGUCACUGUUUUGUGACACUGAGUCACUGACAAAGAAGAGAAAUGUGCUGCUCACAGUCCUCCGGAUGGGGAAGUCUAAGACCACGGUGCCGGCAGCUCUGGUGUCCGGGAAGGGCCUGGGCCCUGCUUCCCACAGGGCACCUCUCGCUGUGUCCAGCAGGGACGAGCUCUGUGUCCUCACACUCAGGAGAGAAAGAAAGGCAGAAAGGCUUCGCUAGUUCCUCUAGCCCUUUCCUGAGGAGCCGACGCCGCCCCCAGGGCCGAGCGCCAUCCCCUGCCCAGGGCCCAGCUCUGAGCCAUCACUUGGAGGCCUGGGGGCACGGCCUCGGACCACAGCAGGCCCUGGGGCUGUGGUCACUCUGCACCCCCAUGUUAAUAGCACGUAAAUGCUUACAUUUUAAUGUCCGAGGGGGGAACUUGUCCACCAGUUUUGCAAAAAGGCAAACUCUGAGUUCCAGUUUGGGCGCAGGUGUUCAACCCUCCACGUAAGCUGUUUUCCUUACAGUUUGGAACAUAAGUGAAUUUUGACUUUUGACGCAAAUGCGUAGUGUGUGAUGAAUAAAUUACUAAGUGAAUUUA